RNAcentral lists this unclassified non-coding RNA (291 nucleotides) under Hevea brasiliensis (rubber tree). Lineage: Eukaryota; Viridiplantae; Streptophyta; Magnoliopsida; Malpighiales; Euphorbiaceae. The record is from RNAcentral.
UUUUGGGAUAAAAGCUUAGUUAAGCUGAGUUGUGAUUGAAUUUAAACAUGGACAAUUACUAGAUACGGACAAUUACUAGAUAAUGUUGUGUGUAUAGUUCUUGCUACUUUGCCAUUGUUAUCAGUAUUUUUAGGAUUCUCAUCAUGCAAUAAUAUUGUACAUUUCAUACAUUGAUGUAUCGUAUUACAAAUUAUUAUGGCAAAAGAAUGUGAAGAAGUUUUAUAUUACCUCUGUUGACAAAUAAGGGUUAAAAAAAAAAUAUUUAACAGGUUCAGUGUCUUUCUUGAUGGG